AUUGAACGCUGGCGGCAUGCUUUACACAUGCAAGUCGGACGGCAGCGGGGAAGUGCUUGCACUUCUGCCGGCGAGUGGCGAACGGGUGAGUAAUGCAUUGGAACGUACCGAGUAGUGGGGGAUAACUGUCCGAAAGGAUAGCUAAUACCGCAUACGACCUAUGGGUGAAAGCAGGGGACCUUUGGGCCUUGCGCUAUUUGAGCGGCCAAUGUCUGAUUAGCUAGUUGGUGGGGUAAAGGCCUACCAAGGCGACGAUCAGUAGCGGGUCUGAGAGGAUGAUCCGCCACACUGGGACUGAGACACGGCCCAGACUCCUACGGGAGGCAGCAGUGGGGAAUUUUGGACAAUGGGCGCAAGCCUGAUCCAGCCAUGCCGCGUGUCUGAAGAAGGCCUUCGGGUUGUAAAGGACUUUUGUACGGGAAGAAAAGGUUGUGGCUAAUACCCAUGACUGAUGACGGUACCGUAAGAAUAAGCACCGGCUAACUACGUGCCAGCCGCCGCGGUAACAC
RNAcentral lists this ribosomal RNA (509 nucleotides) under uncultured bacterium. RNAcentral describes it as "bacterial SSU rRNA". It matches the Rfam family "Bacterial small subunit ribosomal RNA", at positions 30 to 526 of the family's 1533-position model. The record is from RNAcentral.